GACGAACGCUGGCGGCGUGCUUAACACAUGCAAGUCGAACGGAAAGGCCCUGCUUUUGUGGGGUGCUCGAGUGGCGAACGGGUGAGUAACCCGUCAGUAACCUGCCCUUGACUUUGGGAUAACUUCAUGAAACUGGGGCUAAUACCGGAUAGGAGCUCCUGCGGCAGGGUGGGGGUGGGAAAGUUUCGGCGGUUGGGGAUGGACACGCGGCUGAUCAGCUUGUUGGUGGGGUAGUGGCUUACCAAGGCUUGGCCGGGUAGCCGGCCUGGGAGGGUGACCGGCCACAUUGGGACUGAGAUGCGGCCCAGACUCCUACGGGAGGGAGCGGUGGGGAAUAUUGCACAAUGGGCGGAAGCCUGAUGCAGCAACGCCGCGUGCGGGAUGACGGCCUUCGGGUUGUAAACCGCAUUCGCCUGUGACGAAGCGUGAGUGACGGUAAUGGGUAAAGAAGCACCGGCUAACUACGUG
RNAcentral lists this ribosomal RNA (468 nucleotides) under uncultured bacterium. Its description in RNAcentral is "partial 16S ribosomal RNA". It matches the Rfam family "Bacterial small subunit ribosomal RNA", at positions 28 to 507 of the family's 1533-position model. The record is from RNAcentral.